RNAcentral lists this ribosomal RNA (418 nucleotides) under uncultured bacterium. RNAcentral describes it as "bacterial SSU rRNA". It matches the Rfam family "Bacterial small subunit ribosomal RNA", at positions 26 to 454 of the family's 1533-position model. The record is from RNAcentral.
AGGACGAACGCUGGCGGCGUGCUUAACACAUGCAAGUCGAGCGGGAAACUUCGGUUUCCAGCGGCGGACGGGUGAGUAACACGUGGGCAACCUGCCUCACAAUGAGGGAUAGCCCUCCGAAAGGAGGAUUAAUACCUCAUAACACAAGAGAAACGCAUGUUUCUUUUGCCAAAGAAUUUCGUUGUGAGAUGGGCCCGCGGCGCAUUAGCUUGUUGGUUAGGUAACGGCUCACCAAGGCGACGAUGCGUAGCCGACCUGAGAGGGUGAUCGGCCACAUUGGGACUGAGACACGGCCCAGACUCCUACGGGAGGCAGCAGUGGGGAAUAUUGCACAAUGGGGGAAACCCUGAUGCAGCAACGCCGCGUGAGUGAUGACGGUCUUCGGAUUGUAAAACUCUGUCUUUGGGGACGAUAAUGA